CAGCCGUAAACUAUGCGCGUUAGGUGUAUCGGUGACCACGAGUUACCGAGGUGCCGAAGGGAAACCGUGAAACGUGCCGCCUGGGAAGUACGGUCGCAAGGCUGAAACUUAAAGGAAUUGGCGGGGGAGGGCACCACAACGGGUGGAGCCUGCGGUUUAAUUGGACUCAACGCCGGACAACUCACCGGGACGACAGCAAUAUGUAGGCCAGGCUGAAGACCUUGCCUGAAUCGCUGAGAGGUGGUGCAUGGCGUCAGUGACU
RNAcentral lists this ribosomal RNA (262 nucleotides) under uncultured archaeon. Its description in RNAcentral is "partial 16S ribosomal RNA". It matches the Rfam family "Archaeal small subunit ribosomal RNA", at positions 748 to 1008 of the family's 1478-position model. The record is from RNAcentral.